Molecule: ribosomal RNA, 446 nt
Filed under: uncultured bacterium
Lineage: Bacteria
Description: bacterial SSU rRNA
Rfam family: Bacterial small subunit ribosomal RNA
Source: RNAcentral
UGCCAGACUCCUACGGGAGGCAGCAGUGGGGAAUAUUGCACAAUGGGGGGAACCCUGAUGCAGCGACGCCGCGUGGGUGAAGGAGUACUUCGGUACGUAAAGCCCUAUCAGCAGGAAGGAAAAUGACGGUACCUGACUAAGAAGCCCCGGCUAACUACGCGCCAGCAGCCGCGGUAAUACGUAGGGGGCAAGCGUUAUCCGGAUUUACUGGGUGUAAAGGGAGCGUAGACGGCGAUGCAAGCCAGAUGUGAAAGCCCGGGGCUCAACCCCGGGACUGCAUUUGGAACUGUGUGGCUGGAGUGUCGGAGAGGCAGGCGGAAUUCCUAGUGUAGCGGUGAAAUGCGUAGAUAUUAGGAGGAACACCAGUGGCGAAGGCGGCCUGCUGGACGAUGACUGACGUUGAGGCUCGAAAGCGUGGGGAGCAAACAGGAUUAGAUACCCUUGUA